GGGUUGUGAGGUUAAGCGACUAAGCGUACACGGUGGAUGCCCUGGCAGUCAGAGGCGAUGAAGGGCGUGCUAAUCUGCGAUAAGCGCCGGUAAGGUGAUAUGAACCGUUAUAACCGGCGAUACCCGAAUGGGGAAACCCAGUGUGACUCGUCACACUAUCAUUAACUGAAUCCAUAGGUUAAUGAGGCGAACCGGGGGAACUGAAACAUCUAAGUACCCCGAGGAAAAGAAAUCAACCGAGAUUCCCCCAGUAGCGGCGAGCGAACGGGGAGGAGCCCAGAGCCUGAAUCAGCAUGUGUGUUAGUGGAAGCGUCUGGAAAGGCGCGCGAUACAGGGUGACAGCCCCGUACACAAAAGCGCAUGUGCUGUGAGCUCGAUGAGUAGGGCGGGACACGUGGUAUCCUGUCUGAAUAUGGGGGGACCAUCCUCCAAGGCUAAAUACUCCUGACUGACCGAUAGUGAACCAGUACCGUGAGGGAAAGGCGAAAAGAACCCCGGCGAGGGGAGUGAAAAAGAACCUGAAACCGUGUACGUACAAGCAGUGGGAGCACCCUUUGGGUGUGACUGCGUACCUUUUGUAUAAUGGGUCAGCGACUUAUAUUCUGUAGCAAGGUUAACCGAAUAGGGGAGCCGGAGGGAAACCGAGUCUUAACCGGGCGUUAAGUUGCAGGGUAUAGACCCGAAACCCGGUGAUCUAGCCAUGGGCAGGUUGAAGGUUGGGUAACACUAACUGGAGGACCGAACCGACUAAUGUUGAAAAAUUAGCGGAUGACCUGUGGCUGGGGGUGAAAGGCCAAUCAAACCGGGAGAUAGCUGGUUCUCCCCGAAAGCUAUUUAGGUAGCGCCUCGUGAAUUCAUCUCCGGGGGUAGAGCACUGUUUCGGCUAGGGGGCCAUCCCGGCUUACCAACCCGAUGCAAACUGCGAAUACCGGAGAAUGUUAUCACGGGAGACACACGGCGGGUGCUAACGUCCGUCGUGAAGAGGGAAACAACCCAGACCGCCAGCUAAGGUCCCAAAGUCAUGGUUAAGUGGGAAACGAUGUGGGAAGGCCCAGACAGCCAGGAUGUUGGCUUAGAAGCAGCCAUCAUUUAAAGAAAGCGUAAUAGCUCACUGGUCGAGUCGGCCUGCGCGGAAGAUGUAACGGGGCUAAACCAUGCACCGAAGCUGCGGCAGCGACACUGUGUGUUGUUGGGUAGGGGAGCGUUCUGUAAGCCUGUGAAGGUGUGUCGUGAGGCAUGCUGGAGGUAUCAGAAGUGCGAAUGCUGACAUAAGUAACGAUAAAGCGGGUGAAAAGCCCGCUCGCCGGAAGACCAAGGGUUCCUGUCCAACGUUAAUCGGGGCAGGGUGAGUCGACCCCUAAGGCGAGGCCGAAAGGCGUAGUCGAUGGGAAACGGGUUAAUAUUCCCGUACUUGGUGUUACUGCGAAGGGGGGACGGAGAAGGCUAUGUUGGCCGGGCGACGGUUGUCCCGGUUUAAGCGUGUAGGUGUGUGUUCCAGGUAAAUCCGGUUCACUUUAACACUGAGGCGUGACGACGAGGCACUACGGUGCUGAAGCAACAAAUGCCCUGCUUCCAGGAAAAGCCUCUAAGCAUCAGGUAACAUCAAAUCGUACCCCAAACCGACACAGGUGGUCAGGUAGAGAAUACCAAGGCGCUUGAGAGAACUCGGGUGAAGGAACUAGGCAAAAUGGUGCCGUAACUUCGGGAGAAGGCACGCUGACACGUAGGUGAAGUGAUUUACUCAUGGAGCUGAAGUCAGUCGAAGAUACCAGCUGGCUGCAACUGUUUAUUAAAAACACAGCACUGUGCAAACACGAAAGUGGACGUAUACGGUGUGACGCCUGCCCGGUGCCGGAAGGUUAAUUGAUGGGGUCAGCGCAAGCGAAGCUCCUGAUCGAAGCCCCGGUAAACGGCGGCCGUAACUAUAACGGUCCUAAGGUAGCGAAAUUCCUUGUCGGGUAAGUUCCGACCUGCACGAAUGGCGUAAUGAUGGCGGGCUGUCUCCACCCGAGACUCAGUGAAAUUGAACUCGCUGUGAAGAUGCAGUGUACCCGCGGCAAGACGGAAAGACCCCGUGAACCUUUACUAUAGCUUGACACUGAACAUUGAGCCUUGAUGUGUAGGAUAGGUGGGAGGCUUUGAAGUGUGGACGCCAGUCUGCAUGGAGCCGACCUUGAAAUACCACCCUUUAAUGUUUGAUGUUCUAACGUGGACCCGUUACCCGGGUUGCGGACAGUGUCUGGUGGGUAGUUUGACUGGGGCGGUCUCCUCCUAAAGAGUAACGGAGGAGCACGAAGGUUGGCUAAUCCUGGUCGGACAUCAGGAGGUUAGUGCAAUGGCAUAAGCCAGCUUGACUGCGAGCGUGACGGCGCGAGCAGGUGCGAAAGCAGGUCAUAGUGAUCCGGUGGUUCUGAAUGGAAGGGCCAUCGCUCAACGGAUAAAAGGUACUCCGGGGAUAACAGGCUGAUACCGCCCAAGAGUUCAUAUCGACGGCGGUGUUUGGCACCUCGAUGUCGGCUCAUCACAUCCUGGGGCUGAAGUAGGUCCCAAAGGGUAUGGCUGUUCGCCAUUUAAAGUGGUACGCGAGCUGGGUUUAGAACGUCGUGAGACAGUUCGGUCCCUAUCUGCCGUGGGCGCUGGAGAACUGAGGGGGCUGCUCCUAGUACGAGAGGACCGGAGUGGACGCAUCACUGGUGUUCGGGUUGUCAUGCCAAUGGCACUGCCCGGUAGCUAAAUGCGGAAGAGAUAAGUGCUGAAAGCAUCUAAGCACGAAACUUGCCCCGAGAUGAGUUCUCCCUGAGACUUAGAGUCUCCUGAAGGAACGUUGAAGACGACGACGUUGAUAGGCCGGGUGUGUAAGCGCAGCGAUGCGUUGAGCUAACCGGUACUAAUGAACCGUGAGGCUUAACCUUACAACGCCGAAG
This 2924-nucleotide ribosomal RNA is filed under the name Salmonella enterica subsp. enterica serovar Enteritidis. RNAcentral's name for it is "23S ribosomal RNA". It matches the Rfam family "Bacterial large subunit ribosomal RNA". The record is from RNAcentral. Lineage: Bacteria; Pseudomonadati; Pseudomonadota; Gammaproteobacteria; Enterobacterales; Enterobacteriaceae.